ACCUACGGGAGGCUGCAGUGAGGAAUUUUGCGCAAUGGGGGAAACCCUGACGCAGCAACGCCGCGUGAGUGAAGAAGGCCCUCGGGUUGUAAAGCUCUGUCAAGUGGGAAGAACCUUUUUCGGUUGAACAGGCCGAAAAAUUGACGGUACCGCUGAAGGAAGCACCGGCUAACUCCGUGCCAGCAGCCGCGGUAAUACGGAGGGUGCAAGCGUUAUUCGGAUUUAUUGGGCGUAAAGGGCGUGUAGGUGGUCUGAUAAGUCAGGUGUGAAAGCCCUUGGCUUAACCAAGGAAGUGCAUUUGAAACUAUCAGACUUGAGUACGGGAGGGGGAAGUGGAAUUCCUGGUGUAGAGGUGAAAUUCGUAGAUAUCAGGAGGAAUACCGGUGGCGAAGGCGACUUCCUGGACCGAUACUGACACUGAGACGCGAAAGCGUGGGGAGCAAACAGGAUUAGAUACCCGGGUAGUCC
RNAcentral lists this ribosomal RNA (468 nucleotides) under uncultured delta proteobacterium. RNAcentral's name for it is "bacterial SSU rRNA". It matches the Rfam family "Bacterial small subunit ribosomal RNA", at positions 337 to 796 of the family's 1533-position model. Lineage: Bacteria; Deltaproteobacteria. The record is from RNAcentral.